This 290-nucleotide ribosomal RNA is filed under the name Dentiscutata savannicola. Its description in RNAcentral is "partial 18S ribosomal RNA". It matches the Rfam family "Eukaryotic small subunit ribosomal RNA", at positions 1543 to 1830 of the family's 1831-position model. Lineage: Eukaryota; Fungi; Glomeromycota; Glomeromycetes; Diversisporales; Gigasporaceae. The record is from RNAcentral.
UGGGUAAUCUUGUGAAACUUCAUCGUGAUGGGGAUAGAGCAUUGCAACUAUUGCUCUUCAACGAGGAAUCCCUAGUAAGCAUGAGUCAUUAGCUCAUGUUGAUUACGUCCCUGCCCUUUGUACACACCGCCCGUCGCUACUACCGAUUGAAUGGCUUAGUGAGACCCUCGGAUCGAUAUGUUGAAACCUUCACGGGUAUCUACUUGUUGAGAAGUUGGUCAAACUUGGUCAUUUAGAGGAAGUAAAAGUCGUAACAAGGUUUCCGUAGGUGAACCUGCGGAAGGAUCAUU